UGGUUAUAUAUGAUUUGUAGUAUAGAUAC
This 29-nucleotide non-coding RNA is filed under the name Mus musculus (house mouse). Lineage: Eukaryota; Metazoa; Chordata; Mammalia; Rodentia; Muridae. The record is from RNAcentral.